RNAcentral lists this ribosomal RNA (207 nucleotides) under uncultured bacterium. RNAcentral's name for it is "partial 16S ribosomal RNA". It matches the Rfam family "Bacterial small subunit ribosomal RNA", at positions 568 to 774 of the family's 1533-position model. The record is from RNAcentral.
CACGUAGGCGGAUUGGCAAGUCAGGGGUGAAAUCCCGGGGCUCAACCUCGGAACUGCCUUUGAUACUGCCAGUCUAGAGUCCGGAAGAGGUGGGUGGAAUUCCUAGUGUAGAGGUGAAAUUCGCAGAUAUUAGGAAGAACACCGGUGGCGAAGGCGGCCCACUGGUCCGGAACUGACGCUGAGGUGCGAAAGCGUGGGGAGCAAACA